CCGACCCGGGCGGUGCAGGGCGGCUGCGGCCGCGGGCUCCGUCCCCUCGCUCCCAUCCUCUCCCGUCCCUCGCUCCCGUCCCCUCGCUCCCGUCCCCUCCCGUCCCUCACUCCCGUCCCGCCUGUGCCGCCGCCCCCGGGCGGGGGGAGCCGCCUGCCCGUCCCAUAAAGGGCGGCGCGGCCCCGGCGGGGCUGGCUGCGGAGCGGGGCUCGGGAUCUGCCUCCGGACGGCCGCCGGCCCUGGGACUCGCAGGCUCCUCCCGGAGAAAGCCGGAUUCCCCGUCGAGUCGCUGCCAUGGCCUCCGUCCCGUCCGCCGGGUGCCUCCUGGCCAAGAACCAGUACUACAGGACAAGACUGAACUCGGAAUCCAGCGUUUCUUCCAGCUCCUCCUGCUGUUUGGAUGCUGUGAACAUCACAGACCAGGACAAAGCAUUGCAUGGGUUACCAGAGUUAAUUGAUAAACAUUGGUGGAUAAAAAGCUUCUUCCAUAGCGAGCCCUCUCCACCAACUGUUGGCAGAAAAACACUCUCAGCAAGCAGUACCAACAGUUGAAAAGGACAGCAUGAUGGCUUUUCUGACUGAGAUGCUGCGUAGAGACUUGUUUUUCCAAGAGGCUUGGGAUCUUCCUAAUGUCUGGGUUCAGCUGCAAGAAGAAAACAAAACCUUUAGGAGAGUGGAAAAGUGUAUUUUCAAAAUAUUUUUUCAGUAGCUAAAAUGAUAUUGCUUAAUGGACAUAUCCAUGGCCUACUGUGUUCUUUCCAGAUUUGCCAUAAUUUGUGAUGUCUCUCUAAAAAAAGUUUCCAGGAAUAAACAUCCUGAUGACUUGAAUAAUUAGAGAAAA
This 841-nucleotide long non-coding RNA is filed under the name Serinus canaria (Common canary). RNAcentral describes it as "lncRNA (ENSSCAG00000012647.1)". Lineage: Eukaryota; Metazoa; Chordata; Aves; Passeriformes; Fringillidae. The record is from RNAcentral.